CGAAGGAAAGGUGAAAAGGACUUUGAAGAGAGAGUCAAAUAGAACUUGAAAUCGUCA
Molecule: ribosomal RNA, 57 nt
Filed under: Pseudomonadota bacterium
Lineage: Bacteria; Pseudomonadati; Pseudomonadota
Description: Proteobacteria bacterium partial 23S ribosomal RNA
Source: RNAcentral